RNAcentral lists this ribosomal RNA (253 nucleotides) under uncultured bacterium. RNAcentral describes it as "partial 16S ribosomal RNA". It matches the Rfam family "Bacterial small subunit ribosomal RNA", at positions 524 to 776 of the family's 1533-position model. The record is from RNAcentral.
UACGUAGGGUCCGAGCGUUGUCCGGAAUUAUUGGGCGUAAAGGGCUCGUAGGCGGUUUGUUGCGUCGGGUGUGAAAACUCGGGGCUUAACCCCGUGCCUGCUUCCGAUACGGGCAGACUAGAGGUAUGCAGGGGAGAACGGAAUUCCUGGUGUAGCGGUGAAAUGCGCAGAUAUCAGGAGGAACACCGGUGGCGAAGGCGGUUCUCUGGGCAUUACCUGACGCUGAGGAGCGAAAGUGUGGGGAGCAAACAGG